RNAcentral lists this ribosomal RNA (538 nucleotides) under uncultured bacterium. Its description in RNAcentral is "bacterial SSU rRNA". It matches the Rfam family "Bacterial small subunit ribosomal RNA", at positions 985 to 1533 of the family's 1533-position model. The record is from RNAcentral.
CAUCCCUCUGACCGACUCUUAACCGAGUCUUUCUUCGGGACAGAGGAGACAGGUGGUGCAUGGUUGUCGUCAGCUCGUGUCGUGAGAUGUUGGGUUAAGUCCCGCAACGAGCGCAACCCCUAUCCCCAGUAGCCAGCGGUUCGGCCGGGCACUCUGAGGAGACUGCCAGGGAUAACCUGGAGGAAGGCGGGGAUGACGUCAAAUCAUCAUGCCCCUUAUGAUUUGGGCUACACACGUGCUACAAUGGCGUAAGCAAAGGGAAGCAAGCCUGCGAAGGUAAGCAAAUCCCAAAAAUAACGUCCCAGUUCGGACUGCAGUCUGCAACUCGACUGCACGAAGCUGGAAUCGCUAGUAAUCGCGGAUCAGAAUGCCGCGGUGAAUACGUUCCCGGGUCUUGUACACACCGCCCGUCACACCAUGGGAGUCAGUAACGCCCGAAGUCAGUGGCCUAACUGCAAAGAAGGAGCUGCCGAAGGCGGGACCGAUGACUGGGUGAAGUCGUAACAAGGUAACCGUAAGCUUCACAAUCGAAUUCYCC